UAGGGAAUAUUGGACAAUGGGGGCAACCCUGAUCCAGCCAUGCCGCGUGAGUGAAGAAGGCCCUCGGGUCGUAAAGCUCUUUUGUCCGGAAAGAAAAGCUUCGGGUUAAUACCCCGGGGUUCUGACGGUACCGGAAGAAUAAGCACCGGCUAACUUCGUGCCAGCAGCCGCGGUAAUACGAAGGGUGCAAGCGUUACUCGGAAUUACUGGGCGUAAAGCGUGCGUAGGUGGUUGUUUAAGUCUGAUGUGAAAGCCCUGGGCUCAACCUGGGAAUGGCAUUGGAAACUGGGCAGCUAGAGUGCGGUAGAGGGUAGUGGAAUUCCCGGUGUAGCAGUGAAAUGCGUAGAGAUCGGGAGGAACAUCUGUGGCGAAGGCGACUGCCUGGACCAGCACUGACACUGAGGCACGAAAGCGUGGGGAGCAAACA
This 427-nucleotide ribosomal RNA is filed under the name uncultured bacterium. RNAcentral describes it as "bacterial SSU rRNA". It matches the Rfam family "Bacterial small subunit ribosomal RNA", at positions 355 to 774 of the family's 1533-position model. The record is from RNAcentral.